This 253-nucleotide ribosomal RNA is filed under the name uncultured bacterium. RNAcentral describes it as "partial 16S ribosomal RNA". It matches the Rfam family "Bacterial small subunit ribosomal RNA", at positions 524 to 776 of the family's 1533-position model. The record is from RNAcentral.
UACGGGGGGGGCAAGCGUUGUUCGGAAUUACUGGGCGUAAAGGGCUCGUAGGUGGCCAACUAAGUCAGACGUGAAAUCCCUCAGCUUAACUGGGGAACUGCGUCUGAUACUGGAUGGCUUGAGUUUGGGAGAGGGAUGCGGAAUUCCAGGUGUAGCGGUGAAAUGUGUAGAUAUCUGGAGGAACACCGGUGGCGAAGGCGGCAUCCUGGACCAAUACUGACACUGAGGAGCGAAAGCCAGGGGAGCAAACGGG